UCAGAGAGGUGCAGCUACACACCAAGGAAGGCCAAGGCUUUAUGGAACACCAGGAGGUAAAAGAGGCCAGGAGGGGUCCUUCCCUGCAGAUCUCACAGGGAGCACAGCCCUGCUCCUUCAUUCUAGACUUCUGACCCCAGAACCGUGAGCGAAAACAUUUCUGCUGCUUUUUUUUUAAGCCACCCAGUUUGUGGUGUUUUGUUAAAACAGAUAUCCAGCUCAUACAGGAUCUGAGCAGGGCCUUGUCAGCUGGGCUUUAUCCCCGCAGGCACAGGAGAUCCUUUGGAUAAUGUCAGGUUGCACAGGAGUGUGUAAGAGCCUCAGAACGCCCCCAUGUCAAGUGCAAACAGCAACACCAGGAGAAGCCGGAAGUCGCCUUUGUCUCAGCCUGGAGCUUAAUGACGUAUGUCAGAGAUGACACCUGUUCAACAAACCAGGCUCGCCCUACACCAGCUGAUCCAGCUGUUGGAGGAAAGGAACAGUAAGGAGGACUGGUAAACACCCCCGGACCCUGGCUCGUCUGGCAUGCCAAGGCCGGCUCAUCCUUGGGGAUUCCGUGACUACACCAGCCACGGGAGCAGAACUGUUUAAAGAACUUUCUAAACCUGAGUCUCUAAGUCCUCAUCCCACAUCAAAAGAAAAAUCUUUAAUUUACACACAUCCCCCAUUCAGCAUAAUUUCUACAUGGCCCUGGGAGAGCUAGCAGCUAUCCAAUAGCUGAUCCAAUGUUUUAUAGACAUUUAAUUCAAUGUUCGUUCAUUUUGAUUUCUCAGUUUUCUUUUCAUAUUUUGAAGUCAAUACACUCCUUUUGGGUUUCCAAACAUUCUCCUACUCAUAAUAAGGGCCUCCAACUUGGACAAUUUGCCUUGAGAGUUUUUCCUUUAGGGUUAUCUCCUGCAUGUCUCUUGUGUAGACCCAGGGUGAGAGCUAGAUCUUUGAGCAAAGGCUUCUCGGUACACUCUCUCUCAUUCCCAAGCAAAGUAGCACGUGGCAUAUAAUGAGCAAUUGUCAGAAUAGUUCGUGCCUCCAGUCUCAGCUGUAAGGCAAAGAAACACACGGGGGAAAAGUUCCCAAACUAUGAAGGAGGUUCAGCACAACGAUCAAUUUUAAAACCUGAAGAUUCGCGAGCAUGCCUUGGUGCAGAUCUGAUUUGCAGAUACAAAAAGUUUCAUUCAUUUCCUAGAGAAACACAAGUUAAUAUAAUUUCGUUUAGAAAUGCUGCUAUCUGAAAAAGCAUUCUAGUACAAUAGAGUCCAGAAGCUGAGACAGAUGUGGGUUUCCAGUUUGAAGGGUGAGAGAUGGUGUGUCUCGGGUAUUAAUGAAAAUCAGAUGCCACCUUGUGGCCAGAAGUAGAAAUUCAGGGAUUUAACUGGGGCCGGGGGUAAAAAACGGGUUGCUCUGGGAUUCAAACACUAUAGAAAUGCAACCACCGGUGACACAGACCACUCAAGUGACGACAGUGGACUCCCACAUUAAUCCUCAAAACACGUCUUUGCUCUAAUCUAUGACAUCCUUACAGACAUAAUCCUUAAUUCACACACAUGCAUUUACAAGCAUCCAGGACACCAUCCUCCUUCACUCCAAUCCAUAGGGCUGGUUGUCACCUCACCCUAAAUUCAGUGUUGAUUAACCCUGAAAAUCUCUCAGGGAGAUUUUGACCUCUGAAGAGUGGAGGUGACAUCACAGAUAUGUUCAAGGGUGUUACAUGAUACACAAUUUCUUUUCAUGAACAAAUAAAAGUCACUUUGGAAGGCAGUUUGGCAGUUUCCUACAAAACUAACAUUCUUACCAUGUAAUCCAGUAAUCACACUCCUUUCAGCCCAAAGGAGUUGAAAACCAUGUGCACACAAAAACCUGUGCACAGGUGUUAUAACAGCUUUAUUCAUAAUUGCCAAAACUUGGAAGCAACCCAGAUUUCCUUUAGAGGGUGAAUGGAUAAACAAACUGUGGUACAACCAGACAAUGGAGUAAUAAUAUUCAGAACUAAAAAGAAAUGAGCUAUCAAGCCAUGAAAAGACAUGGCGGAACUUUAAAUGCAUGUUACUAGGUAAGAGAAGCAAAUCUGAAAAGGCUACAUGCUCUGAUUCCAACUAUGUGACAUCCUGGAAAAGUCAGAACUAUGGAGAGAGCAGAUUGAUGGAUGGUUGCCGGGGGUGACAGGGGAGGGAGGGGUGCGUAGUCAAGCGCAUGAAAUUUCUAGGGCAGUGAAACUGCCCUGCCUGAUACUAUAAUGGUGGACACACGACAUUCUAUAUUUGCUCAAACUCAUCAAAUGUACACCACCAACAGUGAACCCUAAAGUAAACUAUGGUCUUUGGUUAAUGAGUCAGUGUAGGUUCAUCAGCUGUAACACAGGCACCACUCUGGUGGGGGAUGUUGUUAAUGGGGGAGGCUGUGUGUGGUGUGUAGGGUCAGGAGGUAUACGGGAAAUCUCUGUACUAAAGCAUGUAUUUUUUUCAAGUUUAGACAUACAGACUUUGCAAUAAAAAAAUGCCACAGAAAAGCCUCAUUGUUUCUUCCUAGAGUUAUGUACAACGUGAAAAUCAGGGCAAGGCUGCCAUCACUUUCCUUAAGCAGCAGGCACUCAGUAGAACCAAUUUUGUUUCAAGCACUCAGCCUGGAGUUCAACACAGACAACAGUUCUCACUCAGAAUUUAAAAUGACGUAGGCAAAUUAUUUAAUUACUGCUGCACGGAGAAGCAACAAUUAAAGACAUUGAUGUGAAAUACAUUUAUAGCCAUCACUUUCCGAUACCAGAUUCCUGGGGUUUUGUAUUUUAUUUGCAGCGUAGUUUAGGGAGUGAGAAGUGAGUUAUCAGUAAAGCAAAAUGAUAAUGACUGAUUCUCUGUGGAAGGCAGGCUAAAAGGUCUGUGAUGAUUCUCCUUAUCUCAUAAAAAUAUGUCAUAUACUUUAAUAACGGGCUUGGAGACUGGAUAAGUGCCUAUGUCAAAAGAACACAGGCACUAACCAUUAUGUAUAAAGUAGAUAAACA
Non-coding RNA from Vicugna pacos (alpaca), 2992 nucleotides. NCBI's taxonomy places the organism in Eukaryota, Metazoa, Chordata, Mammalia, Artiodactyla, Camelidae. The record is from RefSeq and is a predicted model, not a curated record.